UGGGGAAUCUUGCACAAUGGGGGCAACCCUGAUGCAGCGACGCCGCGUGAGCGAUGAAGCCCUUCGGGGCGUAAAGCUCUUUCGACCGGAACGAUAAUGACGGUACCGGGAGAAGAAGCUGCGGCUAACUACGUGCCAGCAGCCGCGGUAAUACGUAGGCAGCAAGCGUUGUUCGGAGUUACUGGGCGUAAAGAGUGCGUAGGCGGUUUUCUAAGUUCGGUGUGAAAUCUCCCGGCUUAACUGGGAGGGUGCGCCGAAGACUGGGAAGCUGGAGUGUGGGAAAGGCAGGCGGAAUUCCUGGUGUAGCGGUGAAAUGCGUAGAUAUCAGGAGGAACACCGGCGGUGUAGACGGCUUGCUAGACCAUAACCGACGCUGAGGCACGAAAGCGUGGGUAGCAAACA
This 402-nucleotide ribosomal RNA is filed under the name uncultured bacterium. Its description in RNAcentral is "bacterial SSU rRNA". It matches the Rfam family "Bacterial small subunit ribosomal RNA", at positions 355 to 774 of the family's 1533-position model. The record is from RNAcentral.